AAGGAUCAUUAAUGAAUAAACUCGGUGGAUUGUUGCUGGCUCCUAGGAGCAUGUGCACAUCUGCCAUUGUUUCAUUCUUUCUCCACCUGUGCACCUUUUGUAGGCUUGGAUACCUCUCAAGGAAUAUACAUUCCUUGGAUUUAAGGAUUGUGUUUUAACAUACACUUUCCUUUGCAUUUCCAGUCUAUGUUUAUAUAUCUACACCCCAUUAGUAUGUUUUAGAAUGUUUAUAUUUGGCCUUUGAUAGGCUUUAAAAUCUUAUACAACUUUCAACAACGGAUCUCUUGGCUCUC
Molecule: unclassified non-coding RNA, 293 nt
Filed under: uncultured fungus
Lineage: Eukaryota; Fungi
Description: partial contains 18S rRNA, ITS1, 5.8S rRNA, ITS2 and 28S rRNA
Source: RNAcentral